RNAcentral lists this ribosomal RNA (406 nucleotides) under uncultured bacterium. Its description in RNAcentral is "partial 16S ribosomal RNA". It matches the Rfam family "Bacterial small subunit ribosomal RNA", at positions 30 to 526 of the family's 1533-position model. The record is from RNAcentral.
AUUGAACGCUGGCGGCAGGCCUAACACAUGCAAGUCGAACGAGUGGCGGACGGGUGAGUAAUGUCUGGGAAACUGCCCGAUGGAGGGGGAUAACUAAUGGAAACGGUAGCUAAUACCGCAUACCCUCGGAUGUGCCCAGAUGGGAUUAGCUAGUAGGUGGGGUAACGGCUCACCUAGGCGACGAUCCCUAGCUGGUCUGAGCGUAGGAACAGCCACACUGGAACGUAGACACGGUCCAGACUCCUACGGUAGGCAGCAGUGGGGAAUAUGGCACAAUGGGCGCAAGCCUGAUGCAGCCAGGCCGCGUGUAUGAAGAAGGCCUUCGGGUUGUAAAGUACUUUCAUCGAGGAGGCGUUACUCGCAGAAGAAGCACCGGCUAACUCCGUGCCAGCAGCCGCGGUAAUAC